Molecule: long non-coding RNA, 378 nt
Organism: Myotis lucifugus (little brown bat)
Lineage: Eukaryota; Metazoa; Chordata; Mammalia; Chiroptera; Vespertilionidae
Exons: 3
Source: RefSeq, a predicted model, not a curated record
GAAAUUCUUUUAAUGUUGGAGUUGCUAAGGAGCCAUCAACAUGGAGAGGGAACCUGCCUAAGGAUGAAAUUAUCAAAGCAAACCACACUGAGAGACUGAGCAGGAAAUUAACAUCCAUAUCUCUGCCGUUUGAAGAGAAGAUGGCACCAAGCUAAAUCAAGUGAUGUGCUGGUGUUGGCUCCAAAGCAUGCCAGGAGCAAUGUCGAGGAGCAUGGUGGCCAAAGGUGGACAAUAUUUGGGGUGAUAUUGACAUAAUAUUCCUAAAACUCACAACAAAUCACAUUGUCUUUACUUAUGUAAUGAAGUAAAAUGUUUCUGCAUGAUUCAUUUUAACCAACAUUUCUUCCAAACAACUGUAAAUUCCAUUACUAAGGGGUU